AACGCACAUUGCGCCCGCCAGCAUUCUGGCGGGCAUGCCUGUUCGAGCGUCAUUUCGACCCUCAAGCCCCUAGCGGCUUGGUGUUGGGGUGUUUCUACGGCUCUUAGCUGUAGGCCCCGAAAUCCAGUGGCGGGCCUGACGGGACCCCGAGCGCAGUAAUUUCUCUCGCUUUGGGCGUCGCGGCGGGCAACUAGCCGUAAAACCCACAGGUGCCCUUGUGGCCCUGUAAUACACCAAGGUUGACCUCGGAUCAGGUAGGAAUACCCGCUGAACUUAA
Molecule: unclassified non-coding RNA, 277 nt
Filed under: uncultured fungus
Lineage: Eukaryota; Fungi
Description: partial contains 5.8S ribosomal RNA, internal transcribed spacer 2, and large subunit ribosomal RNA
Source: RNAcentral